AGAAUGAACGCUGGCGGCGUGCUUUACACAUGCAAGUCGAGCGAGGCGGGGAGCAAUCCCCAGUCGAGCGGCGAACGGGUGAGUAACGCGUGGAUGACCUGCCCUUCAGCGGGGAAUAACCCGGGGAAACUCGGGCUAAUACCGCAUACGACCGAGAGGUGAAAGGGGGCCGCAGGGCUCUCACUGAAGGAGGGGUCCGCGUCCGAUUAGCUAGUUGGUAGGGUAAUGGCCUACCAAGGCGACGAUCGGUA
This 251-nucleotide ribosomal RNA is filed under the name uncultured soil bacterium. RNAcentral describes it as "partial 16S ribosomal RNA". It matches the Rfam family "Bacterial small subunit ribosomal RNA", at positions 26 to 285 of the family's 1533-position model. The record is from RNAcentral.